AUGUCGUCUGAGUACUAUUAUAAUAGUUUAAUACUUUCUACAACGGAUCUCUUGGUUCUGGCAUCGAUGAAGAACGCAGCGAAAUGCGAUAAGUAAUGUGAAUUGCAGAAUUCAGUGAAUCAUCGAAUCUUUGACGCACAUGCGCCCCUUGGUAUUCC
This 158-nucleotide ribosomal RNA is filed under the name Sclerotinia sclerotiorum. Its description in RNAcentral is "5.8S ribosomal RNA". The stretch from base 32 to 158 matches the Rfam family "5.8S ribosomal RNA", at positions 1 to 129 of the family's 154-position model. Rfam says of the family: 5.8S ribosomal RNA (5.8S rRNA) is a component of the large subunit of the eukaryotic ribosome. The record is from RNAcentral. Lineage: Eukaryota; Fungi; Ascomycota; Leotiomycetes; Helotiales; Sclerotiniaceae.